UACGGAGGAUGCGAGCGUUAUCCGGAUUUAUUGGGUUUAAAGGGUGCGUAGGCGGGUCGUUAAGUCAGUGGUCAAAUUGAGGGGCUCAACCCCUUCCCGCCAUUGAAACUGGCGAUCUUGAGUGGAAGAGAAGUAUGCGGAAUGCGUGGUGUAGCGGUGAAAUGCAUAGAUAUCACGCAGAACCCCGAUUGCGAAGGCAGCAUGCCGGCUUCCGACUGACGCUGAAGCACGAAAGCGUGGGGAUCGAACAGG
Molecule: ribosomal RNA, 252 nt
Filed under: uncultured bacterium
Lineage: Bacteria
Description: partial 16S ribosomal RNA
Rfam family: Bacterial small subunit ribosomal RNA
Source: RNAcentral